Molecule: ribosomal RNA, 433 nt
Filed under: uncultured bacterium
Lineage: Bacteria
Description: bacterial SSU rRNA
Rfam family: Bacterial small subunit ribosomal RNA
Source: RNAcentral
GCGAACGCUGGCGGCAGGCCUAACACAUGCAAGUCGAGCGCCCGUAGCAAUACGUCAGCGGCAGACGGGAGAGUAACACGUGGGAACGUACCCUUCAGUUCGGAAUAACCCAGGGAAACUUGGGCUAAUACCGAAUACGUCCGAACGGAGAAAGAUUUAUCGCUGAAGGAUCGGCCCGCGUCCGAUUAGCUAGUUGGUGAGGUAACGGCUCACCAAGGCGACGAUCAGUAGCUGGUCUGAGAGGAUGAUCAGCCUCACUGGGACUGAGACACGGCCCAGACUCCUACGGGAGGCAGCAGUGGGGAAUAUUGGACAAUGGGCGCAAGCCUGAUCCAGCCAUGCCGCGUGGAUGAUGAAGGCCCUAGGGUUGUAAAGCCCUUUCGGCGGGGAAGAUAAUGACGGUACCCGCAGAAGAAGCCCCGGCUAACUUCGU